RNAcentral lists this ribosomal RNA (562 nucleotides) under uncultured bacterium. Its description in RNAcentral is "partial 16S ribosomal RNA". It matches the Rfam family "Bacterial small subunit ribosomal RNA", at positions 355 to 1375 of the family's 1533-position model. The record is from RNAcentral.
UGGGGAAUAUUGCACAAUGGGCGAAAGCCUGAUGCAGCAACGCCGCGUGAGUGAUGAAGGCCUUCGGGUUGUAAAGCUCUGUCUUUUGGGACGAUAAUGACGGUACCAAAGGAGGAAGCCACGGCUAACUACGUGCCAGCAGCCGCGGUAAUACGUAGGUGGCAAGCGUUGUCCGGAUUUACUGGGCGUAAAGGAUGCGUAGGCGGAUUUUUAAGUGAGAUGUGAAAACCCUAAGCUUAACUUGGGGACUGCAUUUCAUACUGGAAAUCUAGAGUGCGGGAGAGGAGAAUGGAAUUCCUAGUGUAGCGGUGAAAUGCGUAGAGAUUAGGAAGAACACCAGUGGCGAAGGCGAUUCUCUGGACCGUAACUGACGCUGAGGCAUGAAAGCGUGGGUAGCAAACAGGAUUAGAUACCCUGGUAGUCCACGCCGUAAACGAUGGGUACUAGGUGUAGGAGGUAUCGACCCCUUCUGUGCCGCAGUUAACACAAUAAGUACUCCGCCUGGGAAGUACGAUCGCAAGAUUAAAACUCAAAGGAAUUGACGGGGUCAUAGCUGUUUCCU